UAAGUUGGAUGGUCAAAAGGGAAAGAGCCCAGACCUACAGCUAAGGUCCCAAAGUGCGUGUUAAGUGGAAAAGGAUGUGGGGAUUCUAAGACAACUAGGACGUUGGCUUAGAAGCAGCCAUUCAUUGAAAGAGUGCGUAAUAGCUCACUAGUCGAGAGUCCCUGCGCCGAAAAUGUCCGGGGCUGAAACACGACACCGAAGCUUAGGAAUGUGUAAACAUUGGUAGAGGAGCAUUGCUAGCGGGAUGAAGCCAUACCGUAAGGAGUGGUGGACUGCUAGGAAGAGAGAAUGCCGGAAUGAGUAGCGAGAUGAAGGUGAGAAUCCUUCAGGCCGAAUAUCUAAGGUUUCCAGAGUAAAGCUGAUCUGCUCUGGGUAAGUCGGGACCUAAGGCGAGGUCGAAAGACGUAGUCGAUGGAUAACAGGUUGAAAUUCCUGUACCGCAUAUAAACAGAACUGUGGGGACACAGACAGGGAAUGGAAUCCGGGAAUGGAAAUCCCGGUGCAAGCGAGGUAGGAGUGCUGUUGGCAAAUCCGCAGCACGAUCUGAAGACGUGACGCGUACCGAACAUAAGUAGGGAAGUCCAGGCCCCUGGCUGUCAAGAAAAGCCGCUAUUGUUUUAUAUGUGCCCGUACCGCAAACCGACACAGGUGGAUGAGGAGAGAAUCCUAAGGCCGACGGGAGAAGUAUUGUUAAGGAACUCGGCAAAAUGACUCCGUAACUUCGGGAGAAGGAGUGCCAUGAGAGUGGCCGCAGAGAAAUGGCCCAAGCAACUGUUUAGCAAAAACACAGGUCUAUGCAAAACCGCAAGGUGAAGUAUAUGGGCUGACGCCUGCCCGGUGCUGGAAGGUUAAGGGGAGAGGUUAGCGCAAGCGAAGCUUUGAACUUAAGCCCCAGUAAACGGCGGCCGUAACUAUAACGGUCCUAAGGUAGCGAAAUUCCUUGUCGGGUAAGUUCCGACCCGCACGAAAGGCGUAAUGAUUUGGGCACUGUCUCAACGAUACACCCGGUGAAAUUGAAAUACCAGUGAAGAUGCUGGUUACCUGCGCCAGGACGGAAAGACCCCAUGGAGCUUUACUCCAGUUUGAUACUGGGAUUCGGCAUGGUAUGUACAGGAUAGGUGGGAGACUGAGAAGGUAUGACGUCAGUUGUACCGGAGUCGCUGUUGGGAUACCACCCUUACCAUGUUGGAUUUCUAACCUGUGGCCGUAAGCCGGUCAGGGGACAAUGUCAGGCGGGGAGUUUGACUGGGGCGGUCGCCUCCGAAAGGGUAUCGGAGGCGCUCAAAGGUUCCCUCAGAAUGGUUGGAAACCAUUCGAAGAGUGCAAAGGCAGAAGGGAGCUUGACUGCGACACCGACGGGUGGAGCAGGUACGAAAG
Molecule: ribosomal RNA, 1377 nt
Filed under: human gut metagenome
Description: bacterial LSU rRNA
Rfam family: Bacterial large subunit ribosomal RNA
Source: RNAcentral